UGCAGUCGAGCGGUAGCACAGGAGAGCUUGCUCUCUGGGUGACGAGCGGCGGACGGGUGAGUAAUGUCUGGGAAACUGCCUGAUGGAGGGGGAUAACUACUGGAAACGGUAGCUAAUACCGCAUAACGUCUUCGGACCAAAGUGGGGGACCUUCGGGCCUCACGCCAUCAGAUGUGCCCAGAUGGGAUUAGCUAGUAGGUGGGGUAAUGGCUCACCUAGGCAACGAUCCCUAGCUGGUCUGAGAGGAUGACCAGCCACACUGGAACUGAGACACGGUCCAGACUCCUACGGGAGGCAGCAGUGGGGAAUAUUGCACAAUGGGCGCAAGCCUGAUGCAGCCAUGCCGCGUGUGUGAAGAAGGCCUUCGGGUUGUAAAGCACUUUCAGCGAGGAGGAAGGGUAGUGUGUUAAUAGCACAUUGCAUUGACGUUACUCGCAGAAGAAGCACCGGCUAACUCCGUGCCAGCAGCCGCGGUAAUACGGAGGGUGCAAGCGUUAAUCGGAAUUACUGGGCGUAAAGAGCACGCAGGCGGUUUGUUAAGUCAGAUGUGAAAUCCCCGCGCUUAACGUGGGAACUGCAUUUGAAACUGGCAAGCUAGAGUCUUGUAGAGGGGGGUAGAAUUCCAGGUGUAGCGGUGAAAUGCGUAGAGAUCUGGAGGAAUACCGGUGGCGAAGGCGGCCCCCUGGACAAAGACUGACGCUCAGGUGCGAAAGCGUGGGGAGCAAACAGGAUUAGAUACACUGGUAGUCCACGCUGUAAACGAUGUCGACUUGGAGGUUGUGCCCUUGAGGCGUGGCUUCCGGAGCUAACGCGUUAAGUCGACCGCCUGGGGAGUACGGCCGCAAGGUUAAAACUCAAAUGAAUUGACG
This 869-nucleotide ribosomal RNA is filed under the name uncultured bacterium. RNAcentral describes it as "bacterial SSU rRNA". It matches the Rfam family "Bacterial small subunit ribosomal RNA", at positions 56 to 915 of the family's 1533-position model. The record is from RNAcentral.